AACGCGAAGAACCUUACCAACCCUGACAUGGCAGGACCGCUGGAGAGAUUCAGCUUUCUCGUAAGAGACCUGCACACAGGUGCUGCAUGGCUGUCGUCAGCUCGUGUCGUGAGAUGUUCGGUUAAGUCCGGCAACGAGCGCAACCCACGUCCCUAGUUGCCAGCAUUCAGUUGGGCACUCUAUGGAAACUGCCGAUGAUAAGUCGGAGGAAGGUGUGGAUGACGUCAAGUCCUCAUGGCCCUUACGGGUUGGGCUACACACGUGCUACAAUGGUGGUGACAGUGGGUUAAUCCCCAAAAGCCAUCUCAGUUCGGAUUGUCCUCUGCAACUCGAGGGCAUGAAGUGGAAUCGCUAGUAAUCGCG
RNAcentral lists this ribosomal RNA (363 nucleotides) under uncultured Paracoccus sp. RNAcentral describes it as "bacterial SSU rRNA". It matches the Rfam family "Bacterial small subunit ribosomal RNA", at positions 958 to 1346 of the family's 1533-position model. The record is from RNAcentral. Lineage: Bacteria; Pseudomonadati; Pseudomonadota; Alphaproteobacteria; Rhodobacterales; Paracoccaceae.